This 685-nucleotide non-coding RNA is filed under the name Mus musculus (house mouse). Lineage: Eukaryota; Metazoa; Chordata; Mammalia; Rodentia; Muridae. The record is from RNAcentral.
GGCUUGAGGACCGUAUUCAUGGAAGAGGAUUGAACAGACUACUGAGUUCUUAAGAGAAAAAUGGCACUUAAGAAAUUGAUGGUGAUAUCAAAGGAAGGUUACUUAUUACUCUUGGACUUUGAUGAUGAGGACGAUGACAUAAAAGUUUCAGAGGAGGCUCUUGCGGAAGUAAAGAGCCCAGGAUUUGAUAAAAAUGAGAAUAUAUCGCCUCAAGCAGAAGCAGAUGAAUAUAUGGGAGAUGAAGUAGACAGUAUGUUGGAUAAAUCUGGAGUAAAGAACCCAGCAAUUGGUAAAGAUGAGAAUAUAUCGCCUCAAGUAAAAGGAGAUGAAGACAUGGGAGAUGAAAUUGACAGUAUGUUGGCUACAUCUGGAGGGGUUUGCCCCACAUCCUCUAUAUUGCAGAAAACAAGACUAGGCUCUACCUCUGUAGAUCAAGCACGACUGAAAUCCGUGCUCUCAAAAGAUGCUGGGGAGAAAGAGUGCCAUUCUUCACAAAUGCUGGAUCCUGCAGAUGUUCACCAUCUCAUGAGUAGGGCCUCAGAAGUCCCCCACCAUGCCAAAGGAUUCACAGACCUACCAAAUCUUUGAAAACCCCAUCAGAAAAGGCCCCUUCUGCCCAAGCUGCAUCAUUGGACUGAAAGUGAAUGGCCCAUGUGUUGCCACUGAUGUGAGCCAUUUGCAAGCC